Molecule: non-coding RNA, 1236 nt
Organism: Conger conger (European conger)
Lineage: Eukaryota; Metazoa; Chordata; Actinopteri; Anguilliformes; Congridae
Source: the annotation of a RefSeq genome assembly
AAAGUAUGCGGACACAUGCUGCCUCCAGCUGAGACUAAGCAGAUGUUAGACAUGUUUUUGCACUUAGUAACUGUUGAAUUGUAUCAUUGCGACGGUGCUUUCGAUUAUUGGGGGAAAGGGACCGCCGUCACCGUGUCAUCUGGUGUUAAAGAAGCUCCAACUGCCGUUGUGACAGCAAAACUCGAGCCGCCUAAAGGUGUUAAAGAAGCUCCAACUGCCGUUGUGACAGCAAAACUCGAGCCGCCUAAACUCGUAAUCAAGUCCGCCGCUCUUUAUCUAAUGAUCCCGACUGAGGACCAGCUAAAGCACAACAAGACCGCUUCCUUUGCCUGCUUUGCCAGCGAAUUUUUUCCCAAGGAACUCACUUUUACAUGGAGCAAGAAUGGCAAGGUGUUGACUGGUGACAUCACAACCCUGCCCGUGGUGGAAAUUAGCGGAAACUACAGCGUCUCCAGCUUUCUGCAUCUUUCUGAAAAUCAGUGGAAAUCUGGAGACAACGUCUCCUGUGCAAUUAAACACCCAGGCGGAGACUUCGUAAGGACGGCCAUUUACAAAAAUCCCUCUAGCGAUUGUGGAGGAAUUCCCGUUCAGGUGACAAUCCCCGAACCAUCCACCACGGAGCUGUUCCUGCAUGGCCGGGUGGAGCUGAAAUGCCAAAUCACCGGGGAAUUGGGAGUCGUCAGCGAUGUUGAGUGGCGAAAUGGAGAUGGCACGGUCCUCGUGUCCGACAGCAAAGUUGUGGGAAAUUCCCGAAUCGUAACGCUCCUGGCCAAGAAAGACGACUGGGCCAAUGGAACAAAGUACACAUGCAUAGUGAUGCACGAUUGUUCCGGACCUCCAAUUUCCACGCCCUACAGUCGAGAUAUCGAAGACUGCAACUCCAUUGAUGUGGAGGAUGACUCCGGCGCAGCCGACACUGCCAUUGCCUUCAUCUUCCUCUUCCUCAUCUCUCUGUUCUACAGCAUCGGAGCUACUGCCAUCAAGGUGAAAUGAGAGACACACAAGAAGAAACCUGGUUGUGUGCUUAUGUGUGUGUGUGUGUGUUCUGCUAGUGCAAAUAUCUCUUAUAGACAUGACAUGAUCUUAUAUAAGCAUGAUUUUCUACUGAAACAGUCCUCUGUGUUUGUAAAUGACAAAAUAAUAUGAUAUCCUGUGAUGUUACUCUGUACAUAUUUCACUGUAACUCCAAAUAUUUCAAAUAAAACAUGUCGCUUGCCUGUCUUUGAAAAAGACAAA